This 392-nucleotide ribosomal RNA is filed under the name uncultured bacterium. RNAcentral's name for it is "bacterial SSU rRNA". It matches the Rfam family "Bacterial small subunit ribosomal RNA", at positions 30 to 416 of the family's 1533-position model. The record is from RNAcentral.
AUUGAACGCUGGCGGCAGGCCUAACACAUGCAAGUCGAAUGGUAACAGGAAACAGCUUGCUGUUUCGCUGACGAGUGGCGGACGGGUGAGUAAUGUCUGGGAAACUGCCUGAUGGAGGGGGAUAACUACUGGAAACGGUAGCUAAUACCGCAUAACGUCGCAAGACCAAAGAGGGGGGACCUUCGGGCCUCUUGCCAUCAGAUGUGCCCAGAUGGGAUUAGCUAGUAGGUGGGUAACGGCUCACCUAGGCGACGAUCCCUAGCUGGUCUGAGAGGAUGACCAGCCACACUGGAACUGAGACACGGUCCAGACUCCUACGGGAGGCAGCAGUGGGGAAUAUUGCACAAUGGGCGCAAGCCUGAUGCAGCCAUGCCGCGUGUAUGAAGAAGGCC